Molecule: ribosomal RNA, 759 nt
Filed under: uncultured bacterium
Lineage: Bacteria
Description: bacterial SSU rRNA
Rfam family: Bacterial small subunit ribosomal RNA
Source: RNAcentral
AGAGUUUGAUCAUGGCUCAGGACGAACGCUGGCGGCGUGCUUAACACAUGCAAGUCGAACGAUGAUGCUCCAGCUUGCUGGAGCGGAAGAGUGGCGAACGGGUGAGUAACACGUGAGUAACCUGCCCUUAACUCUGGGAUAAGCGCUGGAAACGGCGUCUAAUACUGGAUAUGAGCAAUAAUCGCAUGGUUGUUGUUGGAAAGAUUUAUCGGUUUUGGAUGGACUCGCGGCCUAUCAGCUUGUUGGUGAGGUAAUGGCUCACCAAGGCGACGACGGGUAGCCGGCCUGAGAGGGUGACCGGCCACACUGGGACUGAGACACGGCCCAGACUCCUACGGGAGGCAGCAGUGGGGAAUAUUGCACAAUGGGCGAAAGCCUGAUGCAGCAACGCCGCGUGAGGGACGAAGGCCUUCGGGUUGUAAACCUCUUUUAGUAGGGAAGAAGCGAAAGUGACGGUACCUGCAGAAAAAGCACCGGCUAACUACGUGCCAGCAGCCGCGGUAAUACGUAGGGUGCAAGCGUUGUCCGGAAUUAUUGGGCGUAAAGAGCUCGUAGGCGGCUUGUCGCGUCUGCUGUGAAAUCCCGAGGCUCAACCUCGGGCGUGCAGUGGGUACGGGCAGGCUAGAGUGCGGUAGGGGAGAUUGGAAUUCCUGGUGUAGCGGUGGAAUGCGCAGAUAUCAGGAGGAACACCAAUGGCGAAGGCAGAUCUCUGGGCCGCUACUGACGCUGAGGAGCGAAAGCAUGGGGAGCGAACAGGAU